UACGAAGGGUGCAAGCGUUACUCGGAAUUACUGGGCGUAAAGCGUGCGCAGGCGGUUAUGUAAGACAGGUGUGAAAUCCCCGGGCUUAACCUGGGAACUGCAUUUGUGACUGCAUAGCUAGAGUACGGUAGAGGGGAUGGAAUUCCGCGUGUAGCAGUGAAAUGCGUAGAUAUGCGGAGGAACACCGAUGGCGAAGGCAAUCCCCUGGACCUGUACUGACGCUCAUGCACGAAAGCGUGGGGAGCAAACAGG
Molecule: ribosomal RNA, 252 nt
Filed under: uncultured bacterium
Lineage: Bacteria
Description: partial 16S ribosomal RNA
Rfam family: Bacterial small subunit ribosomal RNA
Source: RNAcentral